UGCUAUACAUGCAAGUCGAACGCUUCUUUUUCCACCGGAGCUUGCUCCACCGGAAAAAGAGGAGUGGCGAACGGGUGAGUAACACGUGGGUAACCUGCCCAUCAGAAGGGGAUAACACUUGGAAACAGGUGCUAAUACCGUAUAACAAUCGAAACCGCAUGGUUUUGAUUUGAAAGGCGCUUUCGGGUGUCGCUGAUGGAUGGACCCGCGGUGCAUUAGCUAGUUGGUGAGGUAACGGCUCACCAAGGCCACGAUGCAUAGCCGACCUGAGAGGGUGAUCGGCCACAUUGGGACUGAGACACGGCCCAAACUCCUACGGGAGGCAGCAGUAGGGAAUCUUCGGCAAUGGACGAAAGUCUGACCGAGCAACGCCGCGUGAGUGAAGAAGGUUUUCGGAUCGUAAAACUCUGUUGUUAGAGAAGAACAAGGAUGAGAGUAACUGUUCAUCCCUUGACGGUAUCUAACCAGAAAGCCACGGCUAACUACGUGCCAGCAGCCGCGGUAAAAAAAAUUUUUUUC
This 519-nucleotide ribosomal RNA is filed under the name Enterococcus hirae. RNAcentral's name for it is "bacterial SSU rRNA". It matches the Rfam family "Bacterial small subunit ribosomal RNA", at positions 45 to 535 of the family's 1533-position model. Lineage: Bacteria; Bacillati; Bacillota; Bacilli; Lactobacillales; Enterococcaceae. The record is from RNAcentral.